Molecule: unclassified non-coding RNA, 2377 nt
Filed under: Bactrocera latifrons
Lineage: Eukaryota; Metazoa; Arthropoda; Insecta; Diptera; Tephritidae
Description: protein RER1, transcript variant X7
Source: RNAcentral
ACUGUCAAACCAUUUAGUGACGUGUAUUGUGAGUUUGGAAAAAUUUUAUAAAACUGUGAAAUUCUAAAUUGAAUUUCACGUCAAUGGCUUUUUAAAGCCAGUGAUAAAAUCAAUUCACGUUAACGCAUGUUGAAUGUAAUAAUUCUUUAAAUAAUUAAACUUUUACAACAAAUUUCCUUUUACAUAUUGUGUUGGCUAAAACACGAGUUGGGUGAAAAAAAUUUACAGGCGAACGUCACUUAAUCAAAAAAAGCGAAUAAGAACUUAAAAGCAUAGGGUGCAAGGAGGUUUACGGGUUGCGCUCCGUUUGCAGUGGUGGUUGUGCGGCAGUAUAAGAAAGUGUAAGGCGAGACUAAGGAAAAUGAGGAAAUAGAACGUGAGCAUAAAUUACAGAUCGAGGGGCCGAAGGGGUUACAUUUUUGUGAAUACGCGCUGUUUAAGUGCAAACGCGACGACUGGCCGACGUUGGAUAUCUGGUGCACUUUUACUUGAAUUUUUGGUUUAUCUUUAUAUUUUAGUUUAUCUACACAUAUUUUCAAAAAAAGUUUAUAGUGUUUGGCACAAACAAGUUAGCUUAAUCAAGUGACGGCAAUAAUCGAAAUACAAUUAUUAACAGCACCUGUGCCAGAUACUGGUAGCAGACGUUAAAAAACUACAGCAAUGAUGGAUGAGGACACAAGUACUUCGUCUGGAGGUGGUGUGAAGCUAUUCUUCGUACGCCUGUCACAAAUGUACCAAUCGACGCUGGAUCGCUGGACACCGCAUACUAGAAUGCGAUGGGCGGGUGCAAUUGUGAUUUUAUUGCUCUUCCUGCUACGCAUUUUCAUCUACCAAGGCUGGUAUAUAGUGUGCUAUGCGCUGGGAAUAUAUCAUUUAAAUUUGUUUAUUGCAUUUCUAACACCAAAAAUCGACCCGGAAUUCGAUCCAUACGAAAAUGAUGAAGAUGGUCCCAAUUUGCCAACACGCAGUAACGAAGAGUUCCGGCCGUUCAUACGACGUCUACCGGAAUUCAAAUUUUGGCUGUCGAUCACGAAAAGUACAAUCAUCGGUCUGAUAUGUACAUUCUUUGACUUCUUCAAUGUGCCUGUUUUCUGGCCUAUACUCGUCAUGUACUUCAUUACACUCUUCUGCAUAACAAUGAAGCGGCAAAUUAAGCAUAUGAUUAAGUACAAGUAUUUGCCAUUUACACGGAACAAGCCGCGCUAUCAACGUGUUGGUGAGUCACAGGCAACGACAAAGUGACAAUUAGCCGCACAGACACUGCAAAAAACAAACGACAACCAAUCGACAACGGGUAUUACGUCGAUACACGAGCAAAGAACAACAACAACAACAACAGCAACAGUAGCAGCAGCAGCAGCAGCAGCAAGUACAACGAUUGCCGCAACGGCAACAACAGCAACAUCGUUACCGGCUGCACCAUUGACAGCUGCGACUACGUUAGCAACAACAAACAUAGCAAAACCACCGCAAAUUAUAACUAUUGAUUUAAUUUGAGCGUGUCAGUGGCCGAGUCACAUAAAUCAAUCAUACAAAGCACAUUGUAACUGUAACGUUUGUAUGUAAAUAGCGUGCAAUAAAACAUACAAAAAAUUGUCAAACGACGUGUCGUUGUAGUGGCAACAUCCAUCAUUUCAUAGCUAUAUGUUACCGGAGUGCACUAUAAUACUACUUUGGCUUAAAGCGCUUGAAUUGAAUUUUGGUUUAAAGUAAUAUAUAUUUAUAUAUUAAUCAUUAUUAUUAAUUAUGCUUAGUAAUUUUAUGUGUACACCUGUAUUGAAUUUGUUCCAAACCUAAAUAUACACAUUCUAACGAAGUGUGCAACACCUUCUAGAAAACUAAGUACAUGAAUGGAUGCUAUUAAUUUAGUUUACCCAUAAAUGCUGUUGCCUAAAUGGUAGCAGCUAAUUAGUUAAACAACAAAAACAACUACAAAAUUUUAAAAAUUUUCAAAACUCGCAUAUGCACGUUAAUUUUGUGUUUUAGUUUUGUAUACAAAAAAGCUUUCCCCAACUUCAAUUUAUAGUAAUAUUAUAAUUGCGUAAAAUAUAAUUUUUCUGUUAACAAUACAACACUAAUUAGCAGUUAUAUGCGUUAGAUAACAUUUGUAUAUAGCGUCUUUUCCACACAGCAAGUCUUCAUUUCCAUUUACAUUUUGAAAUAUUCUUGAAAAGUUCACAAAUAUGUAGGUUAUGCGCCAAUGUUGACGAAUUGUUGAUUGUAAACCACAAAAGGAAUGAAAUACAUACCUACAUACAUAUAUACUAAGCGCAUGUGUGAGUUGCGAAGUUGAAACUGGGUACAGUGUACGAUUGUAAUAAAUAACAAUACCAAAUCAUUUGAAUAAAAUACAAAUAAAAUAACUUAAGUCGAAAAA